AGCGGCGUAAGGGGUAGUUAGGCAUGGGUAACCAACCCUCUGGAUGGGGAUAACACCGAGAAAUCGGUGCUAAUACCCAGCGAUGUUGAGUGGGGGCAUCUCCGCUCAAUCAAAGGUGUGAUUCCGCCAGAGGACGGGCUCAUGUGGUAUUAGCUAGUUGGUAGGGUAAUGGCCUACCAAGGCAACUAUGCCUAGGGGGUGUUGGCGCACGACCCCCACCACUGGGACUGAGACACUGCCCAGACACCUACGGGUGGCUGCAGUCGAGAAUCUUCGGCAAUGAGCGCAAGCUUGACCGAGCGACGCCGCGUGGAGGAUGAAGGCCUUCGGGUUGUAAACUCCUGUCAGGGGGGAGGAAAGUGAGGUGGGCUCUCCCAUCUCAUUGACCUAGCCUCAGAGGAAGGACGGGCUAAAUUCGUGCCAGCAGCCGCGGUAAUACGAAUCGUCCAAACGUUGUUCGGAUUCACUGGGUUUAAAGGGCGCGUAGGCGGUGCGUUAAGUCGGCGGUGAAAUACUUCGGCUCAACCGGAGAAUGGCCGCUGAAACUGGCGCGCUCGAGGAAGGCAGAGGUGCAUGGAACUUCCGGUGGAGCGGUGAAAUGCGUUGAUAUCGGAAGGAACACCCGUGGCGAAAGCGAUGCACUGGACCUUUACUGACGCUGAGUGCGCGAAAGCUAGGGUAGCGAACGGGAUUAGAUACC
This 700-nucleotide ribosomal RNA is filed under the name uncultured bacterium. Its description in RNAcentral is "bacterial SSU rRNA". It matches the Rfam family "Bacterial small subunit ribosomal RNA", at positions 94 to 786 of the family's 1533-position model. The record is from RNAcentral.